Molecule: non-coding RNA, 98 nt
Organism: Mycena crocata
Lineage: Eukaryota; Fungi; Basidiomycota; Agaricomycetes; Agaricales; Mycenaceae
Source: the annotation of a GenBank genome assembly
GGCCUGGUGGUGUACUGGUAACACAUCUUUCUUUGGUAUGUCAGUGGAGUCACCAAUAUAUUAAGAAGAAGCAUCCUGUUCGAUUCGGGGUCAGGCCA